RNAcentral lists this transfer RNA (84 nucleotides) under Lysobacterales bacterium. RNAcentral describes it as "tRNA-Leu". It matches the Rfam family "tRNA". Rfam says of the family: Transfer RNA (tRNA) molecules are approximately 80 nucleotides in length. Their secondary structure includes four short double-helical elements and three loops (D, anti-codon, and T loops). Further hydrogen bonds mediate the characteristic L-shaped molecular structure. tRNAs have two regions of fundamental functional importance: the anti-codon, which is responsible for specific mRNA codon recognition, and the 3' end, to which the tRNAs corresponding amino acid is attached (by aminoacyl-tRNA synthetases). tRNAs cope with the degeneracy of the genetic code in two manners: having more than one tRNA (with a specific anti-codon) for a particular amino acid; and 'wobble' base-pairing, i.e. permitting non-standard base-pairing at the 3rd anti-codon position. The record is from RNAcentral. Lineage: Bacteria; Pseudomonadati; Pseudomonadota; Gammaproteobacteria; Lysobacterales.
GCCGGGAUGGCGAAAUCGGUAGACGCAAGGGACUUAAAAUCCCUCGCUCGUAAGAGCAUGCGGGUUCGACCCCCGCUCCCGGCA